GACGAACGCUGGCGGCGUGCCUAAUACAUGCAAGUAGAACGCUGAAGGAGGAGCUUGCUUCUCUGGAUGAGUUGCGAACGGGUGAGUAACGCGUAGGUAACCUGCCUGGUAGCGGGGGAUAACUAUUGGAAACGAUAGCUAAUACCGCAUAAUAGUAGAUGUUGCAUGACAUUUGCUUAAAAGGUGCAAUUGCAUCACUACCAGAUGGACCUGCGUUGUAUUAGCUAGUUGGUGGGGUAACGGCUCACCAAGGCGACGAUACAUAGCCGACCUGAGAGGGGGAUCGGCCACACUGGGACUGAGACACGGCCCAGACUCCUACGGGAGGCAGCAGUAGGGAAUCUUCGGCAAUGGACGGAAGUCUGACCGAGCAACGCCGCGUGAGGGAAGAAGGGUUUCGGAUCGUAAAGCUCUGUUGUAAGAGAAGAACGAGUGUGAGAGUGGAAAGUUCACACUGUGACGGUAUCUUACCAGAAAGGGACGGCUAACUACGUG
This 495-nucleotide ribosomal RNA is filed under the name uncultured bacterium. RNAcentral's name for it is "partial 16S ribosomal RNA". It matches the Rfam family "Bacterial small subunit ribosomal RNA", at positions 28 to 507 of the family's 1533-position model. The record is from RNAcentral.